This 750-nucleotide ribosomal RNA is filed under the name uncultured bacterium. Its description in RNAcentral is "bacterial SSU rRNA". It matches the Rfam family "Bacterial small subunit ribosomal RNA", at positions 42 to 753 of the family's 1533-position model. The record is from RNAcentral.
GGGGGAGCCAAACUGGCAGUCGAGCGAGCUUGCCUAGAUGAUUUUAGUGCUUGCACUAAAUGAAACUAGAUACAAGCGAGCGGCGGACGGGUGAGUAACACGUGGGUAACCUGCCCAAGAGACUGGGAUAACACCUGGAAACAGAUGCUAAUACCGGAUAACAACACUAGACGCAUGUCUAGAGUUUGAAAGAUGGUUCUGCUAUCACUCUUGGAUGGACCUGCGGUGCAUUAGCUAGUUGGUAAGGUAACGGCUUACCAAGGCAAUGAUGCAUAGCCGAGUUGAGAGACUGAUCGGCCACAUUGGGACUGAGACACGGCCCAAACUCCUACGGGAGGCAGCAGUAGGGAAUCUUCCACAAUGGACGAAAGUCUGAUGGAGCAACGCCGCGUGAGUGAAGAAGGGUUUCGGCUCGUAAAGCUCUGUUGGUAGUGAAGAAAGAUAGAGGUAGUAACUGGCCUUUAUUUGACGGUAAUUACUUAGAAAGUCACGGCUAACUACGUGCCAGCAGCCGCGGUAAUACGUAGGUGGCAAGCGUUGUCCGGAUUUAUUGGGCGUAAAGCGAGUGCAGGCGGUUCAAUAAGUCUGAUGUGAAAGCCUUCGGCUCAACCGGAGAAUUGCAUCAGAAACUGUUGAACUUGAGUGCAGAAGAGGAGAGUGGAACUCCAUGUGUAGCGGUGGAAUGCGUAGAUAUAUGGAAGAACACCAGUGGCGAAGGCGGCUCUCUGGUCUGCAACUGACGCUGAGGCU